GACGAACGCUGGCGGCGUGCUUAACACAUGCAAGUCGAACGGAAAGGCCCUGCGUUUGUGGGGUGCUCGAGUGGCGAACGGGUGAGUAACACGUGAGUAACCUGCCCUAGACUUUGGGAUAACUUCAGGAAACUGGGGCUAAUACCGGAUAGGAGCUCCUGCUGCACGGUGGGGGUUGGAAAGUUUCGGCGGUUGGGGAUGGACUCGCGGCUUAUCGGCUUGUUGGUGGGGUAGUGGCUUACCAAGGCUUUGACGGGUAGCCGGCCUGAGAGGGUGACCGGCCACAUUGGGACUGAAAUACGGCCCAGACUCCUACGGGCGGCAGCAGUGGGGAAUAUUGCACAAUGGGCGGAAGCCUGAUGCAGCAACGCCGCGUGCGGGAUGACGGCCUUCGGGUUGUAAACCGCUUUCGCCUGUGCCGAAGCGUGAGUGACGGUAAUGGGUAAAGAAGCACCGGCUAACUACGUG
Molecule: ribosomal RNA, 468 nt
Filed under: uncultured bacterium
Lineage: Bacteria
Description: partial 16S ribosomal RNA
Rfam family: Bacterial small subunit ribosomal RNA
Source: RNAcentral